Long non-coding RNA from Gasterosteus aculeatus aculeatus (three-spined stickleback), 2552 nucleotides. NCBI's taxonomy places the organism in Eukaryota, Metazoa, Chordata, Actinopteri, Perciformes, Gasterosteidae. The record is from Ensembl.
GCUCUAGGCUUCCGGACCAAAUCCAAAGACCCUGAAUGGUCACCAGCUGAGGAGGGCUGCACAGCGGGAACACAGUCCAACACCUCUGGAUGGUCAGGGAGGGGAAAACGGUAAAACACAGAAAACGUUGUUGACAUUCACAGAAAACAUUGUUGACAUUCAAAGGGUUCAAAUCUCACAUUUUCCAUGAUGAAAGUUACUUUAGUCGCUCUGGUCAGUCUCUGUGGAUGUUUAGGUACAGCUGGCGGUGGAGGUUUGGUUGUAGCCCCUCAACCACAAUCUGCAAGUGGAGGGUGUAACUGCAGGUUUGUGGCAGAGGCUGUUAAGGUGGAAUUAAGUUGCAGUUGUCUGCAAGCAGACUGCAGUUGGAGGCAAAAACCGCAGGUUGCUGGCAGAGGAUUUUAGGUGGAGGCUGGCAGAGGCUGCAGGUGGUGCAACUGUGGUCGUAGGACGUAGGUGGAGGUUUGGUUGAAGCUGUCUGCCAGCAACCUGCAGUUUGAGGCGGCAUCAACAGGUCACUGGCAGAGGCCGUAGGUGGAGGUUUGGUUUCAGCUGGCUGCCAGCAACCUUCAGUUGGAGGCAACAACUGCAGGUCACUGGCAGAGGAUCAAGGUGAAGGUUUGCUUCCAGCUGUCUGCCAAUAUCUGCUGGUGGAGGUGGUAACAGCAGUUUAGGGGUUGAGCCUAUGUAAGGUGGAGGUUUGGUAGCAGCUGUCAGCAACAUGCAGUUGGAGGCAGCAACUGCAGAUUGCUAGAGGAGGCUGAAGGUUCCAGCUGCCACAACUUGCUGGUGGAGGCAGCAACAGCAGGACUGUGGCAGAGGUUCUUUAGGUGGAGGGUAGGUUGCAGGUGGUGUAGCUUGUUGAAUUGUAGUCAAUGUGAGUUUUUGAUGCAAAUUGUCCAGAGACACUUGUUCCCCACAAUUUGUAGGUGGAAAUACAUCUCCAGCUAUCAGCAGGUGGAUCGUGGGGCAGCGGUUGCGUGGUAAAAGCUGCUGGCAGAGGGUGGAGGCAGCAGAAAGCUAAUGUCAGCUGGAAUCUGCAGGACAACGACGGGGGCUGGAGGUGGAGGGGAGUUUCUCUCCUGGUGGGCACCACCGUGCGAACCAUCUUAAUACGGUGCUUUUGAUACUUAAAAUCACACAACUUUUGCUUAUCAGCAAUGUGAUCUUAAUUGAGGGUUUUGGAGUUUUUAGCUCUUCUGUGGUGUCCCUGGCUUUGGCUCCCCCAAAAUGUCCACCUGGUGGAGGGGAGGGAAGACUCCAACCCCGUAGGAGACAUCCACGUGCACCAGUCCGUCUCCGUUGACUGUUUCGGUGAACAGGGGACGGUCCAGUCUCUGCCACAGCUUCUGCUUGAUGACGCGCCCCAGGCUCAGAGUGUAAGGACGCAGACGGCCGCUCUUGAACCUGAGAGGUAAAAACAACGAGUUUAAUCACAACGUCACAUGUGGUUCAAAUGUUGCUGUGAGGGAAUAUUGAGCGAUACAUUUAGUUGUGAUUGGAAGAAUGUGCUAAUUAUGUGAGCGAUUGUUGACACAACGCACCUCAGCAUUUCAUCAACAACCUCGUGGUACAGCUGCUGGUAUUCUUCCACUGGGAGGUUGAAUAUCUUCAGAGGCCCGUCGUGCAGUGGAGCAGUGGAGGGCUGGAGGCUGGGGGCCACACAGGAGACUCGGGGCAGGUCAGCAGGUGGGAUGGUGGCUCUAGGCUUCUCCACCAAAGACCCUGAAUGGUCACCAGCUGGGGAGGGCUGCACAGCGGGGACACAGUCCAACACCUCUGGAUGGUCAGGGAGGGGACGGCCUCCGGAGGUGCGCUUCCUCUUCUGGUGAAGGUCUCCGGGAGCAGCAGAGGGCCGGCGCUUUCUCUUUAGAGUCGGCCCCUGGUCAGCAACACAUCAAAGGGUGUGAGUGAACUUCAUACUGAACAACACACUGUCACAGAGAAACCUCUGCAUCACAUGCACUGCAGAGAGCCUUCACAGAUUCUGUCCAUUUUGAAGGAUUUUUAAUAUGCAAUCUCUUUGCUUGUUUGUACACUGACUCACUCCGGGUCCUGAGGAUUACAUUGUGAACAGUUUGAAAGAACAAGUCUCACCUGCUUGUCCCUGCAGCAUGAACACUGUCUCCAGGCUGAGGGCCUCGACGCGCUCUCUGCCUGGCGAGCAGAGGUUCUCCUUCCUGUCUGGUUGUCGGUCAGGAGAACGGGAACGUCACACUGCAACAACAUAGACUUGUGUUAGAAGGAAGCUUUACAAGUACGGUCAAAGCAGAACGUUUCAUUUCUCAAUUCACUGUGAAAACCAACUGAUAUUUCCCCUAAAACAUGACGUGUAUUUCCACACGCGUAGAGCUUCUAUCAGCACAUUCAACCAUCGAAAGAGUUCACAGAGACCAGAUGAAGUUUGUAGGGGCCUGAGCUGCAGGCCCGCUGUAAACACCUGUUCCUCACAGAAGUACGCCGUGUGGACAGGUUGUAUGUGCCUCAGUGUUAGCGGACCGACACUUAACUAUUAAUAACAUGAAUUAAGGAACAUGUGAUCAAGUGAAAAG